AGCAGCCGCGGUAAUUCCAGCUCCAAUAGCGUAUAUUAAAGUUGUUGCAGUUAAAAAGCUCGUAGUUGAAUUUCGGGAUCAAUACGUCGGUCGUGCUUCGGUACGUACUGGCGUAAUUGAUUUCUCCCUUCUGACGAACCAUGAUGUCAUUAACUUGGUGUCAUGGGAAAUCAGGACUGUUACUUUGAAAAAAUUAGAGUGUUUAAAGCAGGCUAACGCUUGAAUACAUUAGCAUGGAAUAGUGAAAUAGGACGUUCGAUCCUAUUUUGUUGGUUUCUAGGAUUGACGUAAUGAUUAAUAGGGAUAGUUGGGGGCAUUAGUAUUCAAUUGUCAGAGGUGAAAUUCUUGGAUUUUAUUGAAGACUAACUACUGCGAAAAGCAUUUGCCAAGGAUGUUUUCAUUAAUCAAGAACGAAAGUUAGGGGAUCGAAGACGAUCAGAUACCGUCGUAGUCUUAACCAUAAACUAUGCCGACUAGGGAUCGGAUGAUGUUAAUUUUUAAUGACUCAUUCGGCGCCUUA
RNAcentral lists this ribosomal RNA (520 nucleotides) under uncultured Glomus. RNAcentral describes it as "SSU rRNA". It matches the Rfam family "Eukaryotic small subunit ribosomal RNA", at positions 569 to 1090 of the family's 1831-position model. The record is from RNAcentral. Lineage: Eukaryota; Fungi; Glomeromycota; Glomeromycetes; Glomerales; Glomeraceae.